Molecule: ribosomal RNA, 494 nt
Filed under: uncultured bacterium
Lineage: Bacteria
Description: partial 16S ribosomal RNA
Rfam family: Bacterial small subunit ribosomal RNA
Source: RNAcentral
GACGAACGCUGGCGGCGUGCUUAACACAUGCAAGUCGAACGGUGAAGCGCCUUCCUUUUUGGUGGGUGUGGAUGAGUGGCGAACGGGUGAGUAACACGUUAGUAACCUGCCCCCUUCUUCUGGAUAACCGCAUGAAAGUGUGGCUAAUACGGGAUAUUCUGGGUCUGUCGCAUGAUGGGUCUGGGAAAGAUAUUGUUUCGGUGGGGGAUGGGCUCGCGGCCUAUCAGCUUGUUGGUGGGGUGAUGGCCUACCAAGGCGGUGACGGGUAGCCGGCCUGAGAGGGUGGACGGUCCCACUGGGACUGAGACACGGCCCAGACUCCUACGGGAGGCAGCAGUGGGGAAUAUUGCACAAUGGGCGCAAGCCUGAUGCAGCGACGCCGCGUGAGGGAUGGAGGCCUUCGGGUUGUGAACCUCUUUCGCCAGUGAAGCAGGCCUGCCUCGUUUGUGGGUGGGUUGACGGUAGCUGGAUAAGAAGCGCCGGCUAACUACGUG